AGAAUAUUUUGCCAGUACUGCUGUGGAACAUCCAGGUGCUCUUGUGCAAACUGUAAAUGUGCAGCAAUGUUUUGUUUGGACAGAAGUGACUUCCUCUGUGGUAUCCUCCCAUGAAAUCCAUUCUUGUUUAGUGUUUUAUGUAUUGUAGAUUCGCUAACAGGGAUGUUAGCAUUUGUCAGUGACUUUUGUAAGUCUUUAGCUGACACUCUAGGAUUCU
This 217-nucleotide long non-coding RNA is filed under the name Pelobates cultripes (western spadefoot toad). The record is from RNAcentral. Lineage: Eukaryota; Metazoa; Chordata; Amphibia; Anura; Pelobatidae.